UUGGUAUCUUAGUGGCGGACGGGUGAGUAACGCGUGGGUAACCUGCCUUACACUGGGGGAUAACACUUAGAAAUAGGUGCUAAUACCGCAUAACAGGAGAAGACGCAUGUCUUUUCCUUGAAAACUCCGGUGGUGUAAGAUGGACCCGCGUCUGAUUAGCUGGUUGGCGGGUAACGCCCACCAAGGCGACGAUCAGUAGCCGGCCUGAGAGGGUGAACGGCCACAUUGGGACUGAGACACGGCCCAAACUCCUACGGAAGGCAGCAG
RNAcentral lists this ribosomal RNA (267 nucleotides) under uncultured bacterium. Its description in RNAcentral is "partial 16S ribosomal RNA". It matches the Rfam family "Bacterial small subunit ribosomal RNA", at positions 84 to 354 of the family's 1533-position model. The record is from RNAcentral.